UAACACUUAGGCCAACCUUAAAAAUAUGUUUGUUUGCAGUUUCCGACUGUACCUUCAGACUGAAGGGUCGGUAGGUAGGAAAAAUAUUUUAUUUUAUCAGCCAAAAUACAGUUUAAACAAGCAGUUACACUAAACCAAGUUUCUUGUGAAGAAAAAAAAACAUUUUAAAACAACAAACACUGGACAUGCUGAAAACCAACAUCAAAUGAACUGGCAUUUUCAGAUAAAAAACUUUUUAACCAAAACUGAAACUUUAACAUAGUGUCAUUAUCCAAUUUAUGACAUAAAAUAUGGUAUAAUUAUUAAAUACUGGAACACUUAUAAACAAGGAAUGUCAUUAUGACUAGAACUGUUUUAAAGAAAUAUAUUCAGACAUGUAUGCUUCUUGACCAUGUUGACUAGAAUGUUUUCAUGAGUAGAGUAUUUUCAUCAGAAAAAUGUAGAUAUUAAAGAUUUAUAAGACAAUGUAUUAAAGAGUGUAUUUUUAAUAAAAAAAAAAAAAAUAACAAUUGAAUCUUCAAUUGAAAAAAGGCAACUCGAAAAAAAAGUAUUAAGACAUUCGACUGUUUUCAUAUUUCUAACAGUAUUUAAUUAUAUGUGAUAAGGUUAUAUUUUUGCCAGGCUUUAAUGAAAACCAAAGAAAUCUAAAGUUUGGGGUGAAAUCCAUAGCACCC
This 674-nucleotide long non-coding RNA is filed under the name Mytilus galloprovincialis (Mediterranean mussel). The record is from RNAcentral. Lineage: Eukaryota; Metazoa; Mollusca; Bivalvia; Mytilida; Mytilidae.